Long non-coding RNA from Dermochelys coriacea (leatherback sea turtle), 864 nucleotides. RefSeq lists it as uncharacterized. The record is from RefSeq and is a predicted model, not a curated record. NCBI's taxonomy places the organism in Eukaryota, Metazoa, Chordata, Testudines, Dermochelyidae. The transcript is spliced from 4 exons.
GGAGGCUUCAGGGGAAGAACUAUAGUCCCUUUCUGAGUAAUAGAGAGUGAACCCAUAGAGAGAUGGAGAAGCCCCUGGAGUGGAGCAUGCUUUGGUGGUGAGCAGGACCUGGAGCUCCAGGAAAGAAACCCAGGGAGGUGCUCAACUGAAGAGCUUCAGGAGGGAGUUUACAUGAGCUGAGGGACCCAGGCCUACCGAGGGGUGUGUUUUACUGGCUCCCAUGAUGUGGAGGAAGGACAGGAUGGGCCCAGUCCUCUGAGACUUCCAGGACGUGGCCUUCAGGAACACCCCACACCUCUGCAGACCAUCUACGCCAGAUAAGAAAGAGGCCAAGAUGCAGCAAAAAGACAUGUUCCGGGAGGUUGUACUGACAUCUAGUGGAAUGCUGCAGAGUGGAUGCUGAUGGUCUUCGGUAGCAUCCAGCUGGAGAACAGGGAUGAUACAGCCUGAUGUGACUGGCCAGGGAGCCGGAAGAUGAAACUAUAACUUGGACAUUGAUAUCUGAUAGGGAACAGGCUGUGUUGUGGAUGGUGGUGUGAAAGUGCUCCUGUCUAGACACAGAUGCCUGCAAUAACUGCAGGGAUUGGGGAAGGCAAUGCAGAACCUACCGGGCCAUGGCUAGAUACAUUGCUCUGCUGGAAUAUUCACUCCCUCCUCCCAGUAUAUCAAUCCCUCUUUUAUGAAUGUAAAUUGCCUUGUUGCUAUCAGGUGCAGGCAGGCCUAAUGGGUGGAUUAGCCUUCUUCAGCUGUAGACACCCCCAGCUGAGAAAUGUUAUCUGCAUUGGGGGAGAGAGAAUUGCUACAGAGCCAGGGAUUCUGAAACCUUCACAGCCCCCCUGUUCGUCUGUGGGGUUUUUUCUUAGA